AUUGAACGCUGGCGGAAUGCUUUACACAUGCAAGUCGAACGGUAGAGGGGGCAACCCCUCGAGAGUGGCGAACGGGUGAGUAAUAUAUCGGAACGUGCCCAGUCGUGGGGGAUAACGUAGCGAAAGUUACGCUAAUACCGCAUACGAUCUAAGGAUGAAAGCGGGGGAUCGCAAGACCUCGCGCGAUUGGAGCGGCCGAUAUCAGAUUAGGUAGUUGGUGGGGUAAAGGCUCACCAAGCCAACGAUCUGUAGCUGGUCUGAGAGGACGACCAGCCAGACUGGAACUGAGACACGGUCCAGACUCCGACGGGAGGCAGCAGUGGGGAAUUUUGGACAAUGGACGCAAGUCUGAUCCAGCCAUUCCGCGUGCAGGAUGAAGGCCCUCGGGUUGUAACUGCUUUUGUACGGAACGAAAAGGUCUCUCUUAAUACGGGGGGCUCAUGACGGUACCGUAAGAAUAAGCACCGGCUAACUACGUGCUAGCAGCCGCGGUAA
This 495-nucleotide ribosomal RNA is filed under the name uncultured bacterium. Its description in RNAcentral is "partial 16S ribosomal RNA". It matches the Rfam family "Bacterial small subunit ribosomal RNA", at positions 30 to 523 of the family's 1533-position model. The record is from RNAcentral.